RNA transcript from Fukomys damarensis (Damara mole-rat), 3929 nucleotides. It is a transcript of the gene named neuronal calcium sensor 1, with no coding region annotated. The record is from RefSeq and is a predicted model, not a curated record. The transcript has 4 exons. NCBI's taxonomy places the organism in Eukaryota, Metazoa, Chordata, Mammalia, Rodentia, Bathyergidae.
ACCACCACGCCCAGCCAGGCUUCCAAUGUAUGUGCACAGGCAGGUGCAGCCUCCCAGGGCUUCAGUCCCAGCAUGGUGGUGGCCACCGCGGUGACCUCAGAGUCUGCGUAUUACUUUCAUCUCCUCUGGCCCAGGCCCUCGCCUUGUGCUCCUGGCAUUUGUCACUGACUCCUCCUGGGAGCCCCGUGCGUCUCUGCUUGACGGACGAGGCCAGGCAGGGUGCUGCCUGUGGCUUCGAGCCCUGUCCUGCCAGCCCCAGAGCCUGCACCGUGGACCCCAGGGCCCGGGGAGGGCAAGCGCUCGGGGAUGUUGCCGGCAGGGUGGGCGCUGUGGUCACGUGUGUGAGCCCCGACUCGUGUGCACGCUGUGAGCGUGAGUGACGGGGUCACGGCGCAUGUUGGGAGUGGGUGAGCCGCGCACACGCGUGCAGGUUGUAAAUGUAGCUGUGCCCGGGGGCGGGGGGCGCUGGGAGGAGACACAGCCAGGCGGGGAACCGGAUCAGAAGGAGGGGGCUCGGCCGCAUUGGUGAUGUGGCUGCCGCUUCUGUGUCCCCCUCCUGCCGUGGCCCUGGUGGGCCCUGGGAGCCCAGCUUCCCGUGGGUUGUGAUGAGUUCUGUUACCAAGUUCUCGGGCCAGGAGUACAGGUGCUGGCGGCCACAGUGCCCACUCCUGGGCCCACGUUGGAGACAAAGAGAAAGAAGUGUAGGGAUUUCCAGGCCUGGGCCUGGGUCAGGUCUUUGUGCCAGCAAAGCCACAGCCUUCCCACCCGAGUCUUCCUGCUGUGGUCUCUGAGUCCCGCGACCUUAGAGUUGCCUGUGUAGGUGGUGAGCACCCCGUCCCGGGAGGCAUCCCAGCCACCGCUCCUGGGUUCCUGGGGUGGGUGUGGCCGGACAAUGGGUAGAUGCUGACAGCUGUAAAGGCAGGGCUCUGCUGCUUCCAGAUGUUGUGUCUCCUGGGCGCACUAUGGGCAACUUCUGCCUUGGCUUCCUUCAGGAAGGAGGCGGGGCUGAGGCCUUGGGGAGUGCGAGGCAGCCAGGACCUAACACCCGAGGGAACGGCAGGCAUGGUGGAAGGGCCGGAAGUGCAGAGCCUCUCAGCGCAGGGCAGACAGGAAGCAGCGAGCCGGGGGAGGAGCCUUCCAGACCACGCCCACUGACCCGCCACUCCCAGCCAGGCCCCGCCCCUCAAGCGAGGCAGCUCCGCGCCCCACCUAUGAGCGCAAGGGGCUCUUGGGGACACGGAGAUAGAGACACACAGGAGGAAGUGUCCAGGAAGCAAUGACAGGAGCCUGUGGGUCGGUGCUCCUGUCCCUGCCCCCGCAUCCAUCUCCUCCGAGGCCCCAGUGCUGACCAUGGGCAGCGACGUGCCCACAUCUCCCGCUUUACGGAGAAGGAGGUGCAGCAGUGGUGCUGCCCCGGACACUGGGACCCAGCAGGAACCGAACGCAGCCCCAGAGCUACAUGUUGCCAACCAGGACAGCACCAUGGAGAGAAGGAAACCUGAGUCCAGGACGGGCGGGCAUUUGGGUUUCCAUGGCAGGCUGGGACCCCAGCCCCACGACACCCGCUCUCCGCUGCAGUGGCUUUUUCCCUAAAGAUGCUAGAAAGGAAAUAAGUGGCCCUUUCUUCGGCAGGAAGUCCUGUGGACUCACUGAGCACCCUUUGGUGCCUCUGGUGGUGCUGUCAAGGUUGGAGACAGGUGGCCCCCAGGCCGUCCCACCCCCAACCUCUGGACAGGCCGCACCCAUCAUUGACCCAGGCGGUCGAACAGUGGCCUUCUUGCCCCCUCUGUCCCCUCCUGUGCCCCUGCCAGACAUCAGCAAUGGAUCACAGAUCACGAUGCUGUGAAUCCGUCUCUCCCAGCACCCUGGUCAGCUGCUGCCACACCAAGCGAACCCAGUCAUGGACCCUCAACUGGCCUUAGCCUCACCCCAUGACCUGGGACUGUAGCACAGGCCUGUGGGGCUAGAGACUGGGUCCUCAGGCCACUGUCCCCUUUGCCCCUUGCCCUUGUGACAAACCAGACAGCACUUGCCAUUCUCAACAUCCACGACGUCAGCCUCUCCCUUGGAAAAGUUGCGGUUCUGGAACCCAGGCCACCGGGCAGCUGAGGCGUCAGGGGAGGGCAAGGGAAACAGGAGCAUCGGGGUCAGCUGUGGGCCUCCAGGGAGCCCCUUUGUGGCCCCCAGUGGUUUGGGUGGUGGGACUGUCGAUUACGGGUGCUCUUUGUCCUCUUUUAUUUUCUGUUUUCCAAAUUCCUUGGAUAAUAACCAAGCAUCCCAGCGGAAUAAGACAAGCAGUGGGUGGAAGCAGAAGGGAUCCUGGAGGCGUCUGCCCCACGCAAGGGAGGGCGAUGAGGCUGCCUCCCCAGUGUCCCCCGGCCCCUGUGGGGGGCUACGCUGGUCCUUAGAGCAGUGCCCUGUCACGUCUUGGCCUUUUGGCUAAGAUCAAGUGUAGGGCGGUGCCCUGCCCUGAGCCCCAGGAAUGGCCCCAUCUUACAGAUGGCGAAACAGAGGCUGAGAGGGGCGCAGUGCUCUCCCAGACCACAGGCUGUGUGUGGGUACGUGGUCUGCGUCCGGCUCCUCCCUCCUCCUCCUCCUCCUCUCUGGUUCUUGGGCUCCAUGUUGGCUUCUGGCCCAGGGGAACCCAGGACUCUGAAGCUGUGGGGUAUCAGGAGGAGGCCUGCGGGGUUCUGGGAGGGGGUCGGGAAGAGACACGGGGAGCGCUUGCUCUCCGCCGCGCCCCUCCUGGCUGUGCCUGCAGGCUCCUGGCAACCUAGGGCCCUGGUUUGUUCCCCCGCAGCCCCCUGUUCCGCCUCUGGCACUGGCGCCGAAGGACGCAGGCAGCUACCGCACUGUCCUAGCUGCGGGAGACAAGGAGAACAGGGCCUGGUCUCCUGCCUAGCCCCGUGCUCCCACGGCCCAGCAGGCUGGGGCUUGUGUGCGAGGCAGUGUCACAGGGCCCAGGAGAACGAGAGCCGUGCAGAAACAGGACCCUGGUGUCCCGAGCACGCACCUGCAGCCUCCUAUUCCAUCCUUGCUGAGCACCUGCUGUGUGCCAGGCCGGUGCCCGCUGCCGGGGCGUCAGGGACGGAGCCGAGAAGGUUGCAGGGUCUCGCUGGGGACGUGCAGGCGGUUGGCUGGCUGGGCUGGCCUUGCUGGGGCUGGGGGCGGCGGGAUUCGCAGAAGGCAGCCAGCCCUUGGGGUUUUUGUGCAGUGACAGAUUUCUCGCCCCCCACCCUCCCCUUGCAAAGAAGUGUAAGCCUGUUGCCGUCAGCUCUGGGUCUCCUCUUGCACCCUUUCUGUCUGCAGGAGCGGCCUGCCAUACCCACGCCGCAGCUGCUCUGGAGCCCCUCGAGGAGGGGUCCUGGGCUCCUCCCCUUCCCAGGGGUCUCCCGGGAGUGGUGGCAGGGGCGUUAUGGUGAUCGUAAGGAGGAGACCCCUCCGGCCACUCCCUCCCGUGCUGCACUUGAGGCCCGACCUGCAGUUGGGGCCUGGAGAUCCUGGGGCUGGGCUGAGAUCUCAACCUGAACCCUGACCUGGCUGCGCUGUGGAACCAGGCUGCCCCUGUGUCCUCUCUGCCCCUCUCCCAGCCCCACCUGAGCCAGCAGGGUGCACAGUGAAACCCCAGCCCACUCCCUGCGUCCACUUCCAGCCACGUGACUGUGUCACAUGGCCGAGGACUCCCGUGCUGUAGCGGAACUGGACCGUGCCUGCCUCCGUGGCCCAGGCAGUGGCCCGGGGACACAAGUCGGCCUCAGCACAGUGUGAGAGGAGCCAGCCAGACCCCGCCCUGGUACAGGGUGCUGACAGUGGCCCUCGUGUGCGGGACCCCGUCUGGGAGACACAGUGGUCUGCAGGUAUAAGGGCUUCAUCAAGGACUGUCCCAGCGGGCAGCUGGACGCCGCUGGCUUCCAGAAGAUCUACAAGCA